CCCUUAGAUGUUCUGGGAUGCACGCGCGUUACACUGAUUCGUUCAACGAGUUUAUGACCUUGCCUGAUGAGGUGGGGGAAUCUUUUCAAAUCGCAUCGUGAUGGGGAUAGAGUAUUGUAACUGUUAGUCUUCAACGAGGAAUUCCUAGUAAGUACGUGUCAUCAGCUCGUACUGAUUAUGUCCCUGCCCUUUGUACACACCGCCCGUCGCUCCUACCGAUUGAGGGCUCAGGUGAAUAGUAUGGACUGCAUCAGUGUUCGGUCUCCGAAUGUUGACGCGAGAAAUUCUGUGAAUCUUAUUGCUUAGAGGAAGGAGAAGUCGUAACA
RNAcentral lists this ribosomal RNA (326 nucleotides) under uncultured eukaryote. RNAcentral describes it as "partial 18S ribosomal RNA". It matches the Rfam family "Eukaryotic small subunit ribosomal RNA", at positions 1470 to 1796 of the family's 1831-position model. The record is from RNAcentral.